GACAGAGGAUGCAAGCGUUAUCCGGAUUCACUGGGUUUAAAGGGUGCGUAGGUGGCUUUGUAAGUCAGUGGUGAAAUACCGCAGCUCAACUGCGGAACUGCCAUUGAUACUGCUUAGCUUGAAUCACGUCGAGGUGGAUGGAAUAUUACAUGUAGCGGUGAAAUGCUUAGAUAUGUAAUAGAACACCGAUUGCGAAGGCAGUUCACUAGGCGUGUAUUGACACUGAGGCACGAAAGCGUGGGGAUCAAACAGG
RNAcentral lists this ribosomal RNA (253 nucleotides) under uncultured bacterium. RNAcentral describes it as "partial 16S ribosomal RNA". It matches the Rfam family "Bacterial small subunit ribosomal RNA", at positions 524 to 776 of the family's 1533-position model. The record is from RNAcentral.